Molecule: transfer RNA, 84 nt
Filed under: Colletotrichum tofieldiae
Lineage: Eukaryota; Fungi; Ascomycota; Sordariomycetes; Glomerellales; Glomerellaceae
Rfam family: tRNA
About the family: Transfer RNA (tRNA) molecules are approximately 80 nucleotides in length.
Source: Rfam by way of RNAcentral
GGCUGGCUGGCCAAAUGGUAAGGCGUCGGACUCCUAUCAGGAAUCGUAAUCCGAAGAUUCUGGGUUCGAGUCCCAGGUUGGUCG